RNAcentral lists this ribosomal RNA (253 nucleotides) under uncultured bacterium. Its description in RNAcentral is "partial 16S ribosomal RNA". It matches the Rfam family "Bacterial small subunit ribosomal RNA", at positions 524 to 776 of the family's 1533-position model. The record is from RNAcentral.
UACGUAGGUGGCAAGCGUUGUCCGGAUUUACUGGGCGUAAAGAGCGCGCAGGCGGUCAGAUAAGUCGAAUGUGAAAGCCCCCGGCUUAACUGGGGAGGGUCAUUCGAUACUGUUCGACUCGAAGGCAGGAGAGGGAAGCGGAAUUCCCGGUGUAGUGGUGAAAUGCGUAGAUAUCGGGAGGAACACCAGUGGCGAAGGCGGCUCUCUGGACCACAACUGACGCUGAGGCUCGAAAGCUAGGGGAGCAAACAGG